This 22-nucleotide small nuclear RNA is filed under the name Arabidopsis thaliana (thale cress). RNAcentral's name for it is "snRNA_08237". The record is from RNAcentral. Lineage: Eukaryota; Viridiplantae; Streptophyta; Magnoliopsida; Brassicales; Brassicaceae.
CGCGAGUUCUAUCGGGUAAAGC